AUCCAGCUGACGAGUCACAACUAAGACGGGACACGCGUCCUGGAU
This 45-nucleotide non-coding RNA is filed under the name Schistosoma mansoni. Lineage: Eukaryota; Metazoa; Platyhelminthes; Trematoda; Strigeidida; Schistosomatidae. The record is from RNAcentral.